UACGGAAGGCAGCAGUGGGGAAUAUUGCACAAUGGGCGAAAGCCUGAUGCAGCUAUGCCGCGUGUAUGAAGAAGGCCUUAGGGUUGUAAAGUACUUUCAUCGGGGAGGAAAAACAAAACUAAUAAUUUUAUUUCUUGACGUUACCCGAAAAAGAAGCACCGGCUAACUCCGUGCCAGCAGCCGCGGUAAUACGGAGGGUGCUAGCGUUAAUCAGAAUUACUGGGCGUAAAGAGCACGUAGGUGGUUUUUUUAAGUCAGAUGUGAAAUCCCUGGGCUUAACCUGGAACUGCAUUUUGAAACUGAAAUACUAGAGUAUCGUAGAGGGAGGUAGAAUUCUAGGUGUAGCGGUGAAAUGCGUAGAUAUCUGGAGGAAUACCUGUGGCGAAAGCGGCCUCCUAAACGAAUACUGACACUGAGGUGCGAAAGCGUGGGGAGCAAACGAGGGAUUAGAUACC
RNAcentral lists this ribosomal RNA (455 nucleotides) under uncultured bacterium. Its description in RNAcentral is "bacterial SSU rRNA". It matches the Rfam family "Bacterial small subunit ribosomal RNA", at positions 340 to 786 of the family's 1533-position model. The record is from RNAcentral.